AUUGAACGCUGGCGGCAUGCCUUACACAUGCAAGUCGAACGGCAGCACGAGGGCAACCCUGGUGGCGAGUGGCGAACGGGUGAGUAAUACAUCGGAACGUGCCCCGUAGCGGGGACGAACCAGUCGAAGACUGGCUAAUACCGCAUACGCUCCACGGAGGAAAGACAGGGGAGUCGCAAGACCUUGCACUAUGGGAGGCGGCCGAUGCCCGAUUAG
RNAcentral lists this ribosomal RNA (216 nucleotides) under uncultured bacterium. RNAcentral describes it as "partial 16S ribosomal RNA". It matches the Rfam family "Bacterial small subunit ribosomal RNA", at positions 30 to 244 of the family's 1533-position model. The record is from RNAcentral.